AAGUCUGUGUCAGACUGGCAGGGUCAGGCGAGGCGCGAACGUCAUCCAAGGGGAAAUAGCAAAGCCGUAAUAGAGCUGACAGAAAGAAGAUUCCAGCACAGGUACUGAAGGGGAAGACCCCGGCGAGACGACCAGCCUGUGAACGAGCCACCACCAGCAGAACGACUGGAGAGAAAAAGCAGAUGGCGAUCAGGAGCAGUGAUGUGAUGUUGUGUGUCACCACCACUGCGGAGCGAGUGACCGAGCGUCUCUUUUCAUGACAAAGAUGGAGAUAUUUUCUCUCAAGAGUCUCAGACCCUCCAAAAUCAUCCUGCUGGCUUUGAGUUUCUGUGACUUUAUUGUAUUUAUUGUCCCUGCAGAACAACACAACAUCUGGGGCCCGUUUCAAUAAGGAAGAUCAACCAAGACCGAAUUAAAAUCUGAACUCGGAGUUGAUUUACUCAGAGAAUCACUACUCUGAGUUUUCAGUUUCAGACCAGCUGAUAUGAGUUAGUUCAAACCACUCUGAGUUUGUUCACCCUAAGUUACGCGCGUGCACCAUGGCUAUAAAAAAACCAUCAUCAAUUGAGUAAAGAACGCACGCACACACAAACACACACUUUGGCCUUUUUCUUUGUCUCCGCAGAUUCUGAUGGUUUGGUUGGCCUUGUGGAACCUCUUGUCACAACAGAACCCCAGGCAGUUGAUGAAGGGGAUGAAGAAUCCUUGUCUGCUGACACAGAGAGGCCUACAGAGAGCAUGGCAGCACAGGAGGAGGGUCCAUCAAAUUCUGACACACAAAUUAACGCAAUUCAGUAAUGUUCAGUAAAUGUCAUUGUCUGAAUCUGCAGAACUUUUUAGAACUUGAACAUCUAACCUCAGUCUUGUGUUUUUCAGUUGCAAGUUAAGGAGCUAUAUAGGCUCCAUCUCGUAAAACAAUUACAAAAGACUGAUAAAUAACUUGUGUACUUGGACCAUCAGAUUGUAAAAACAGAUUUGGAAAUUGAGUUGUUUAGGCACAAACUAGAGGUGGGUGUACAAAAUAAUGGAACAGUCUUACAACCUUUUAUUGUAAGGAUGAUUUUAGUCAUCCAGACGAUGUGAUACAAAAAGACAUUCUGCACAAAUAUUAAAGUCACUCUAGUAAGUGCAGAUUCAGUUUAUUUUAUGCUUAUUGAACAUAUGUUAUUGAAAUGUACGAAACUGCUUGUUAUUUCUUUUCUUUUUUUACUAAAGAUUUGACAUAUUACUACUAGAAUAAUAUUUAUAACUCCUGUUUUUGUUGAAUAUCACAUCAUGACUUGCUUUUAUAACAUUCACAUGGCAUGUGUACAUCAUGAACUAUGCUCGCACUAAAUUCACAUGCUGAUAAAACAAAGUCUUGGUUAAAUGUAGAUUUGUAUUUGUAAGAUUAUGAGUCACUUUCUGACUUUUUCACAUGUGGUUGUAUUUCUAAUAGACAGGCAUCAUUCACUCUGGAGUUAUACUGAACUCAUAUCAUGAUGUGAAGUUUAAUCUCCUGGGGAGGGUCUUUGCCACACUAGGGGUCUUUGUCACAUCCGUGUUUCAAGUGUGUUGUCAGAGCUGUCAAAGGAUCUUGUGAUAAAAAUCCUUAACCUGGAUCCUUCACACAGUCAUUUCACAUCUAAACGUUACAGCCCAAAAAACAUGUAAACAGCCAGUAAUUGGCGAGGAGACGCAUUUAAGGCGGGACGGAGGAGGCGACAAGGAGAGAGAAACCAGGCUGGGAAAACGUGUGUCGGGAGCCAGAGAGACGGCGCGUCCAGGAAUACCAAGAAUCUUCAAAGCAGAGAGUUUUGUGAGAGUGAAUGAGCGGGUGUGCAACCCGGAAGUAUUGCAAAUAAAAAGCAUCUACGGUUUCCCAGCUACACUGACCCCAACUCCUUUCUUCCUUAUCUCAGAACUUGUUAUACACAGCAAUGCAUUUUACACAUGCAAGAUCCUUUUUUUUUUUAACUUUUUUAAUUUACACUUGUUUAUAUUCUAUAUAUUUGAUAUAUUAAUUUUGCUUGUCAAAUCUGUUGUGUUCAUGAGUAAUGUGGAAUGUUACUAUUUGUGUAUACUAUUUUUAAAUAGUAAUGCUGUGCUGUUGUCACGUGAUGAGACGUUGUGUAGGGGAAGAGAAGAAAGUUGAGUAAAGAAAGUUACGGAUUCACUA
Molecule: long non-coding RNA, 2158 nt
Organism: Triplophysa dalaica
Lineage: Eukaryota; Metazoa; Chordata; Actinopteri; Cypriniformes; Nemacheilidae
Exons: 6
Source: RefSeq, a predicted model, not a curated record